This 1095-nucleotide long non-coding RNA is filed under the name Oncorhynchus kisutch (coho salmon). Its description in RNAcentral is "lncRNA (ENSOKIG00005045927.1)". The record is from RNAcentral. Lineage: Eukaryota; Metazoa; Chordata; Actinopteri; Salmoniformes; Salmonidae.
UUCCUGCCUCUGGUGGUUGCACAUGGUCAUGAAACUCGAGUACUCGAGUAUUUGGAUUUGCAUCUUCAGCAUCGAACAUGUCGUCACUCUUGCUAUGCAGUUCUUUUGCUAGCACCUCCUCUGAAUGUUGUCACCCCUCGUUUGGUGCCGGUGAUACCUGAAGUGUGCACUUAAAGUGUCUCACUUUAAAAAAUCUUUGCUCGAAAAACGAGAGAAAAGCACCAAUAGUCAUGUUUGUCCAUUUUGAGACGCCAUAGCCAAAAUAGUCAGAAUUAAUCUAAGAUAACUCAAGAAAUCUUUCAUUCAUUGUAAAGUUUUUGCUGAGGAGAUCUUAGUCACACAAUUUUACAUCUAACUAAGAUGUUUGGUGCAGUAUUUCUCAAUGAAAACAUGUGCAUGAAAAUGAGUCGUCUCUCGUUGAAUGACAACAAAGACUUUAUUGAAGAAUCCCUACUCUUGACCAAUCACCAAUAAAGGGGCGUAGACUUCGACUACGGACUUCAGAUUGCCAAUUUGUGUGCCUGAACAGCCGAAAAAACUCCACAAAAAGUCAUCAUAAUAUAUGCAUGAACUCUUCCGAAUUGUUUUUGGCUUGUAAGAAUGGGAACGCCUUAAGUCUCUCUACAUACAAAACGAGGCAACAGUGAUACAAAACGGGGCGACGGUGUGCUUUAGGACCAUUCAGACGCCUCCGAGCAGUCGGGUUCAAGAGCACCGUUGAUUUUCAAGGGCUGGUUCUACGCCUGGGGAUCACAGGAUACAAUUUCUUCCUGAAUGUAUUUAUCUUUGCAGCUGUGGAGCUGCUCACUGGUCUCAUCUUCAACUGCUGGUGGACAGGGUGGGAUGGAGACUCCUCAUGGCUGUCUCUAACUUCAUAUGAGUCGCCGCCUGCCUCAUAGUCCCCUUUGUUUCAACUGUGUGGCUGAUGAAAACCAUAGCGAUCAUUGGUCAGGCUGUUGCCAUUGGAAUCGAGACUGAACUUUGCCAACUCUAACCUGUAUCCAACACCUCUCAGCAAAUAAUAAAAUGAAACUCAUUAAUGCUGCUUAAUUCUGUUUUCACAACCUGGAUUACAUACUGGUAGUAAUACAUGCA